Molecule: RNA transcript, 2574 nt
Organism: Dama dama (fallow deer)
Lineage: Eukaryota; Metazoa; Chordata; Mammalia; Artiodactyla; Cervidae
Gene: PRR16
Gene name: proline rich 16
Exons: 4
Source: RefSeq, a predicted model, not a curated record
CCGAGCGCCGUGUCUUGGGGAGCCGAUGGCAGCACCACCUCGGUGCGGCCGCCCGGCCGAGCGCCGAGCGCAGCCACCACCCGCCGCUGCCCGGGGAGCGUCCAGGAUGUGGGGGGACCGGGGCGCGCAGCAGCCUCCGCUGGCCCGCCUGUGCUGACCUGCCUCGCUUGUCCCCAAAGAAUGUCAGCCAAGUCCAAGGGGACCCCCUCCUCGUCCUCUCCAGCCGAGGGACCGCCGGCAGCCUCCAAAACCAAGGUGAAGGAACAGAUCAAGAUCAUCGUGGAGGAUCUGGAAUUAGUCCUGGGCGACCUGAAGGACGUGGCCAAGGAACUUAAGGAGGUGGUUGACCAGAUUGAUACCCUGACCUCUGACCUACAGCUGGAGGAUGAGAUGACUGACAGCUCCAAGACGGACACCCUGAAUAGUAGCUCAAGCGGGACGACAGCCUCCAGCAUAGAGAAGAUCAAAGUGCAGGCCAAUGCCCCCCUCAUUAAGCCCCCAGCCCACCCAUCUGCCAUCCUUACGGUCCUGAGAAAGCCAAACCCUCCAGCGCCUCCUCCACGGUUGACACCCGUGAAGUGUGAAGACCCCCAGCGAGUGGCGCCCCCCAUCAACCCGGUAAAGACCAAUGGCACCCUUCUGCGGAAUGGAGGCUUCCCUGGGGCGCCAACCAAAAUCCCCAACGGAGAAAUCUACUGCAAACCCAGCAGUAACUUGGACAAGGCUCCCGGGCAGCCUCUGAUGCACAGACCCGAAAAAGACAGGUGCCCCCAAGCUGGGCCUCGGGAACGAGUAAGGUUUAAUGAAAAAGUCCAAUACCAUGGCUAUUGUCCUGACUGUGACACCAGGUAUCACGUAAAGAACAGGGAGGUCCUCUUACACAGCGAACCCGUCCACCCACCAGGAAAGCUUCCUCCCCAAGGCCCUCCCCACCCACUUCCCCCUCAUCUCCCUCCUUUUCCACUAGAAAACGGGGGGCUGGGAAUAAGCCACAGUAACAGCUUCCCCCCCCUCAGACCUGCAACUGUGCCUCCUCCCACUGCACCAAAACCACAGAAGACGAUCUUGAGGAAGUCCACCACUACAACAGUGUGAUGUAUGCCAUUUAAAAGCAUUUUUUUGUUUUUUGUUUUUUUGGUUUUUUUUUAAUUUUUCUAUAUUAUAAACAUAAAAUAAUAAGUAAUGAGCACUUUCUACUCAAGCAAUAAAAAGCCCAAAUAUAUUUGUCCUGCAUUCAGCAGAGUGACAUAAAAAUCACCUGACCUAUGAACCUUCAAGUAUACUGCAACCUCGGGAAUAUCCCAGGCAAGAGGACAACACUGGCUGCCUAAGAAGUUUCAAAGACUCCUUCAGGUUGGAAGGAACACCUUUAUUUGGAGGCAUGUCAGUUCAUUUUUCGCACUUCAGAUUCAUCAUUAUGACUUCUUGAGGCCAGAUCUAAUUUUGGAAUAACCAGAAAACUGUCCAUCUUGGAGCAGCAAACCCCUCAACUUGGAGCACAAAUGAUCACUAAUAUGGUCUGCUUAAAACUAUCUGCCUCUAGUCUGACAGCCAUGAGCAGAGCCCUGGGGGCAAAAAAAAAGCCACAGCCUUAAAUGUCUUCACUCAGAAAUUACCAAGAAGAUUAAAAAAAAGAAGAAAAGAAAUGAAAAAGACUAAAUAAGCAAGCCUACAAAAAACCAAAAAGCAAACAAACAAAAUUCAUCUCACUUUAUCAUUGAAAUUAUCCCCAGAUGUGAACCUCCCAAAAUUUAUAUUUAGUAAUUAAGCCAGUAAAUUAUACAUUGAUGUAUCAUUUGGGAAGGUGAAAGUAUAGAAAUAGGUGUCUAUAGCUAGAACUACUCAGCAUUUCAAAAUAUGUAAACAAAACAAAAACAAAAACAUACAACAAGAACUGAACAGAGGAAUAUUGCCUCAAUGAACAGUAUAAGGACAGAAUGUUUCUGUUUGCAAAGAGAGAGGACAUCUGUCAUCUUGUGUACACCUUCAAAGCCAUAAUGGUGUCAGAGUAUUGUUGUCAACUGCUUGAGAAGUGUCUGCAUUCAGUCCUUCACUCCAUACCGGUUGAGAGAGGGGAGGUCAGUUCUUACUGAUUACUUCUCAAUGCACUUCUACUAUUUGCACUGUCACUUCCAUUCAGGGUAAUGAUGUGUGCUGUUAUUUGCACAGAUGGUCCCAUGAAUUUUGAGACCACAACAGUUCCUUGCGGAGUCCAGAAAGGAAACAUGUAAGAAUUCUCCAGGCAUUGAUUUCUCUUUCUUCUAUAAAAAAAAAAUCAGUUAUAAAAAAAUGGACUUGUCUCAGAUUAAAGAACAACUACAGAAUAAUAAUGAAAAAGCAUCAGGGUGGUCGAAUGAAUGAAAAGGGAUCAAAAAUUGUUUUUGUUUUUUUUUUUAGUGAGGAUCAUUUUCUAUCAUUAACAGCAAAGACGUCAAAUACAGUGAACUGUACACCAAAACAUUUGUGUUGAACAUCUAUUUGUUCUCUUACUUAACAAAAUCAUUUGUAAUUUGUAUUUGACAUAUAAGAGAUUUUUAUAGCCAUUUAUCUAUGCCUCAUGGGGAAAUGUACUAA